RNAcentral lists this long non-coding RNA (832 nucleotides) under Sander lucioperca (pikeperch). RNAcentral describes it as "lncRNA (ENSSLUG00000011025.1)". Lineage: Eukaryota; Metazoa; Chordata; Actinopteri; Perciformes; Percidae. The record is from RNAcentral.
CUCCUCUACCCGGACACUCCUGCUAAGAUGGAGACCACAUCACAAGAAGCUUUCUGCUUCAGACCCGUCUCACAACAUGACAGAGGCAAAGGAGACCAUAUUGCCCUGAACACACAGCAGGAGUCCCUCCGUUCUCAUCCCACAUCCUCGAGACAAACAGGAAGAGAAAACAGCAGCAGGGGCCGGAAACCAGGGGAGGACGAUCAAGAAGGCAACCAUGAUCAGACAGCAGGGACAAACGAACGAGAUACGACAAAGAUGCAGUCUCAGUAUCAGAAGGAUUUCCCUCCUCCGUCCUCCUGCUGCAGAAGGCGAACACCUGCCCUCCCACAGCCAGACAACAUCGGCAUCAACCCUGCCUUUAGGAUCGACUUUAGCACAGUGCAAAGAGAGAAUUACCCUGGUUGGCCCAUCAUGAGUCCCAUGUGUGCAGGGAGGCUGAGAGCGGCCUCGUCCGGGAAACCAAACAUGAAAAAAUAAAUAAAAGAAUGUAAAAAAUAAAGUCAUGUUCAAAUUUUUUACCAAUUGCAGCAAAUGUCUAAUUCCAUCAAAUGGCUAUCGAUCCCUAUAAAUCCUAGCUUGUUAUAUUCAUAGUGCACACAGUAAUAAACAUGAUUUUAUAAACCAGUGUGGGCUUUUGGGUUAUGUGUGUCAGUCUUUGAAUCACUUCUACAUUCUUCUUAUAAAUAACACUAACAUUUUUGAUCUAACUCCUCAGUUUAGACAUAAGUGAAAUCGAAGUCAGAGGUGUUGAGUUCUCCUUCACUAACCACAUCCAGCACAUUGUGUGCCUGUCUGGAAAUAUAUACUUUCUUCAAAAUGUGCUAAGGUG